UACGAAGGGGGCUAGCGUUGUUCGGAAUUACUGGGCGUAAAGCGCGCGCAGGCGGCCGACCAAGUCAGGGGUGAAAGCCCGGAGCUCAACUCCGGAAAUGCCUCUGAAACUGUUCGGCUCGAGUACGGUAGAGGUGAGUGGAAUUCCCAGUGUAGAGGUGAAAUUCGUAGAUAUUGGGAAGAACACCGGUGGCGAAGGCGGCUCACUGGACCGUUACUGACGCUCAGGCGCGACAGCGUGGGGAUCAAACAGG
RNAcentral lists this ribosomal RNA (253 nucleotides) under uncultured Rhizomicrobium sp. RNAcentral's name for it is "partial 16S ribosomal RNA". It matches the Rfam family "Bacterial small subunit ribosomal RNA", at positions 524 to 776 of the family's 1533-position model. Lineage: Bacteria; Pseudomonadati; Pseudomonadota; Alphaproteobacteria; Micropepsales; Micropepsaceae. The record is from RNAcentral.